CUCAUGACUGCCUUGAUCAAUAGCAUACGGCAGACGUCAUGCUGUGCCAGUUUCAGGCUUAGCUUUACUUGAUUGACAGCUCCAUCUUUCUGCUUCUUGGAACGUUCAGUCUGGGGACUCCCUCUCUCCUAAACCAACUGCCAUGCUGUGAAACUCCUAAGCCACACGGAGGUAUUUCAGUUGACAGCCUUAGCUGAGCUGCAGUAUCAACUGCCAGUCAUGUGAACACUCAGCUUGAACAUUCCAGCCCAGUUGAGCCUUCGGAUAAUUGCAGCCCCAGCUGACACCUGGCCGUAUUGUGUGAGACACACCAAGUGAAAACUGCUUAGCUGAGUCCAGUCAAACCAAAGAAUCGUGAGAGAGAAGAAUAAUUGGUUUCAAGUGCUGUCAUGGAGACGCCCCUCCCCCAUUCUUUGUGAUCUGCGUGAGACUGUCAAUCAAGACCCGUUGCCCAAACCCACAGCUAAAGGCAGGUCAUGUGAUCAAAAAUAGACCCAGAAUCUUUCUCCAGGGAAUUUGAGUCUUCAGUGGAGUAUUGAUAGAAAAUGGGUUUAAUGAAGAUAAAGGGGCUCUCUUUACGUGUCCAGUUGGGCUUGACAAAUUAACCAGGCUGCUGAAAGGGGCCCAGUGCAAGCCGCGGAGCUGAAACAGCAUCUCUAAUCUUAUUUCCUAUGAACCUCUCACUAACUUCUCCUUUUACGAUCUUUUCACGGCUGUUACAUUGAAUCAGUAUCAUUAUGUGUUUAAAAAAAUAUUAUGCUCUGUGUCUCAGAGCUAACUCUCCAGAACCGAUUAUUCUAGCCCCUUUUCUUAGGAGAUGACAGGCUGUUAGAAAUCUGGAAAGGGUGGGGGUUUGUUUGUUUGUUUCUGGGGUCCUCUUGGCAGGAGCUGAGAAAUGAGGUGAAAGCCGCGGUUCUCAGACUUUUGCUGUAGGUUUACGGUAUGACCAUGAGCAUUCCCAAUGGCAGAUUGCAAAAAUGGCCCUGGAUUCCUCCCUUCCCUGAACGCACACUUCUUUGCAGUGUGACUUGGUCACUCUUCUCCUCUAGAGGUGGAGCCUGUACUUCACACCUUGAAUCUAGCCUUAGACAAUAUGUUUUGUCCCGUGGGAUGUUAGCAGAGGUUUGAAGGACAUUUCUGCUUUGGGGUUUCCUCUCUCUUGCUGCACCUGGAAACUUAAGACCCUUAUGUCACCCAG
This 1198-nucleotide long non-coding RNA is filed under the name Equus caballus (horse). Its description in RNAcentral is "lncRNA (ENSECAG00000046350.1)". The record is from RNAcentral. Lineage: Eukaryota; Metazoa; Chordata; Mammalia; Perissodactyla; Equidae.